RNAcentral lists this ribosomal RNA (468 nucleotides) under uncultured bacterium. Its description in RNAcentral is "partial 16S ribosomal RNA". It matches the Rfam family "Bacterial small subunit ribosomal RNA", at positions 28 to 507 of the family's 1533-position model. The record is from RNAcentral.
GACGAACGCUGGCGGCGUGCUUAACACAUGCAAGUCGAACGGAAAGGCCCUGCUUUUGUGGGGUGCUCGAGUGGCGAACGGGUGAGUAACACGUGAGUAACCUGCCCUUGACUUUGGGAUAACUUCAGGAAACUGGGGCUAAUACCGGAUAGGAUCUCCUGCUGCAUGGUGGGGGUUGGAAAGUUUCGGCGGUUGGGGAUGGACUCGCGGCUUAUCAGCUUGUUGGUGGGGUAGUGGCUUACCCAGGCUUUGACGGGUAGCCGGCCUGGGAGGGUGAACGGCGACAUUGGGACUGAGGUAGGGCGCAGACGCCUACGGUGGGCAACAGUGGGAAAUAUUGCACAGUGGGCGGAAGUCUGAUGAAGCAGCGCCGGGGGCGGGAUGACGGUCUUCGGGUUGUAAACCGCAUUCGCCUGUGACGAAGCGUGAGUGACGGUAAUGGGUAAAGAAGCACCGGCUAACUACGUG